GGUUCAACGGGAUAUUGGUCCGGUUCAAUAAGAAAGCAAUGCUCAAAAGUGUUUUAGGGUCCUGUUUUUUCAUUGAGCCGUGCCAAUAUCACGAGCCACUGC
Non-coding RNA from Phaseolus vulgaris (common bean), 102 nucleotides. Lineage: Eukaryota; Viridiplantae; Streptophyta; Magnoliopsida; Fabales; Fabaceae. The record is from Rfam.